Odocoileus virginianus texanus is the source of this 363-nucleotide long non-coding RNA. RefSeq lists it as uncharacterized. NCBI's taxonomy places the organism in Eukaryota, Metazoa, Chordata, Mammalia, Artiodactyla, Cervidae. The record is from RefSeq and is a predicted model, not a curated record.
GAAUCCUAUCUCAGCAUUCAUGGGUUUUAAGCAUUUGACCAGAAGGUGUCCUUGAAUCUCAAUGUCACCAUGUGUAUAAUUGAGGGUUCCUUGGAAAGAAGGUCCUGUGCAGGUGAAGAGCCCUGAACCUCAGCGAUCUCACAGAAGGCAGAUCUCUGAGCAGAAACUACCACGUUUGGAAGAUGAGAAUGGAUAGAACCAAAGUCGUUGACGUCAAGCCCUGCCUGGGACAGGACCCACGGCUGACUUUUCUCGGAGGGCCUGAUGCUUCCUGUCCGGACUUACUCUGACACCCAGCUGAAACUGCUCCUGCCCCGGUGUCCCUGGCACGCUACCCUCCAGCCAGAGGAGCAGGCAGGCGCA